GUGCUUGCACCUGGUGGCGAGUGGCGAACGGGUGAGUAAUACAUCGGAACAUGUCCUGUAGUGGGGGAUAGCCCGGCGAAAGCCGGAUUAAUACCGCAUACGAUCUACGGAUGAAAGCGGGGGACCUUCGGGCCUCGCGCUAUAGGGUUGGCCGAUGGCUGAUUAGCUAGUUGGUGGGGUAAAGGCCUACCAAGGCGACGAUCAGUAGCUGGUCUGAGAGGACGACCAGCCACACUGGGACUGAGACACGGCCCAGACUCCUACGGGAGGCAGCAGUGGGGAAUUUUGGACAAUGGGCGAAAGCCUGAUCCAGCAAUGCCGCGUGUGUGAAGAAGGCCUUCGGGUUGUAAAGCACUUUUGUCCGGAAAGAAAUCCUUGGUUCUAAUAUAGCCGGGGGAUGACGGUACCGGAAGAAUAAGCACCGGCUAACUACGUGCCAGCAGCCGCGGUAAUACGUAGGGUGCGAGCGUUAAUCGGAAUUACUGGGCGUAAAGCGUGCGCAGGCGGUUUGCUAAGACCGAUGUGAAAUCCCCGGGCUCAACCUGGGAACUGCAUUGGUGACUGGCAGGCUAGAGUAUGGCAGAGGGGGGUAGAAUUCCACGUGUAGCAGUGAAAUGCGUAGAGAUGUGGAGGAAUACCGAUGGCGAAG
RNAcentral lists this ribosomal RNA (649 nucleotides) under uncultured beta proteobacterium. Its description in RNAcentral is "bacterial SSU rRNA". It matches the Rfam family "Bacterial small subunit ribosomal RNA", at positions 76 to 720 of the family's 1533-position model. The record is from RNAcentral. Lineage: Bacteria; Pseudomonadati; Pseudomonadota; Betaproteobacteria.